ACCUAGAAUCCACAAGCAAAAGUGAGACUCGAGUAUAGGGUGCUUGAGGAAGAUGAACUGGGUAGCGGUGUGACAAAAGGAAGAAAAGACCAAGAAGGAGCAGACGCGCCAGUGACGAGUCGCUGCCCGCAAGACAGACCUUCAAGGGGGAUACCUCAGUUUUACUUUCAAGAAACAAUCAAGUUCCAAAUGAUGAAUAAAAUAUAAUGAAGCUUGUAAAUGAUCCAACAAUGAAUGUGUGCAUCACGUGAAAUGAUCUCACCAAGGAGUGGUCAGGGCCAAGGAAAGAGCCAGCAUAGCAUGGAGAAACAUUUGCUUCCAAUCCCUUUUAAUAUGCACUCUGGAAAAUCAAUGCAGCAGAUACCUGACCUUCCUUGUGUUUUUUUGUGCAAGAAAAGACCUGAAAUCACAAGAUCAGUGCCUUGCUCAGCCAUCAUCAGAGAAGUUUCCUCCUCAAGCAGAUGGCAACAAAUACAGAGACCCACAACCAGAUAUUAUGCAGAUGAUAAGAAACCUGGGAACUCUCAGCCCUAACUGGAAUGUCUCUAUCAAGUCCCUCCUCUUAGACCUCAGGCUAUCCCACAAGAGACAGAAAGAGUAGGAGCUAGAGGGGAUGGAGGACACCAAGAAAACAGGGUCCUCUAAAUCAACAUGAUCAAAGCUUAUAUGAACUCACAGAGAUUGAGACAGCAUGUAC
Non-coding RNA from Peromyscus maniculatus bairdii (prairie deer mouse), 697 nucleotides. Lineage: Eukaryota; Metazoa; Chordata; Mammalia; Rodentia; Cricetidae. The record is from RefSeq and is a predicted model, not a curated record.